Molecule: long non-coding RNA, 897 nt
Filed under: Mus musculus (house mouse)
Lineage: Eukaryota; Metazoa; Chordata; Mammalia; Rodentia; Muridae
Description: long non-coding RNA chr17:65904809-65905706
Source: RNAcentral
CACUCAGGAGGCAGAGGUGGCUGGAUCCUUGUGAGUUCCAGGUUAGCCUGGUCUACAUAAUGAGCUACGGAAGUACAGAUGAGCAGCACACUUAAUUUGUUUGUUUGUUUGUUUGUUUGUUUGUUUUCCAAGACAUGGUUUCUCUGGAUAGCGCUGGCUGUCCUGGAACUCACUUUGUAGACCAGGCUGGCCUCGAACUCAGAAAUCUGCCUGCCUCUGCCUCCCGAGUGCUGGGAUUACACCACGUCAGCGAGCAGCACACUUGAAAUGAUACUUCCUGCCCCUUCCAUGCAAAUCAAUCCCUACGGAUUUGGUCCCAGAAAUUUCUUUCUUGGCACCACAUAGAAAAGAGCUGAGCUGGAUGGAGUGGACAUUCUAUACAUUUUAAGUUUUUCUUUAAGUCCAUAUAAGUAAAAGACAUAAAGGGGAGCGGAAGAGAUCUGGUGGAUUCACUGACUGGGGGCGGGGCAUCGGGCCUUACACUCUAGCUCCCGCUGGCCUCUGUAGCCCAGAUUGGCCCGGAAUCCCUGGCAAUACUCCCAUGACUGGAAAUCCCCGGGUGUAUUGGGAUUGCAGGAGGAGCUGCCAUGCCCAGCAGAGGAACGGGACUUAACAUGAUUUCAAACGCCUUUGAAGGUUUGAUGGGCAUGCGCCAUGUGAGCUUAAACUGCCGCGCAAGCCUUUUCAACGGGAUGGAAUCCGGGGCUUUCCCACGGCAUCUCACACUAUCCUUUCACGGAGAUUAGAGGUUGCUCCCUGGGGCAGGAAAGGGGCUUCCAGAGGCAGAUACUCACAAGUCACUGCUGCCUUCUAGUCUCCUCUGGCUGUCUGCUUGGUCCCUGGACCUGUCCCUAAACCAACCAGUUACACAGCCUUCUAAUUGUGGAGAUACGGCGU